Long non-coding RNA from Bombyx mori (domestic silkworm), 482 nucleotides. RefSeq lists it as uncharacterized. The transcript has 2 exons. The record is from RefSeq and is a predicted model, not a curated record. Lineage: Eukaryota; Metazoa; Arthropoda; Insecta; Lepidoptera; Bombycidae.
CGCUCUGAUUCGACGAGAGAAGAGUCGGACGUACAACUUAAUCCACAAAACACAACCCAUUAAGUUUCUCGUCGGAUCUUCUUAAUGGAUCGUGAUCCCGGACCGGUGGUAGAUUCAGCGAAACACUAUCUUAAUAAAUUCUUUCAGGUUGAAUGAGUUCACCUUCCUGUCAUGGUGAAGCCAGCCCUUUGAGGCUACUGGCAGAUAGAUAGAACAAAAAGCGAGAAGUGCUCAUCUGUUAAUGCAGAUGAAAUUUAGUUUAUCACCUUUGAAAUUUGAAUAAACAGGAAUUUUCAGGAAUAGAUAUUGAAGUACUUAUACAUACUAGAGGUCCUGCAGUAGUCGAAAUUCGACUAUAAUUAAUUGGAAUUCCGCCAGGAGCGACUACUGAAAUAUGGAGCGACACAUCGAUUUCAUGUUUCUAUUAAAUUCAAUCUUUAAUUUGUCACAUAAGGACUAAUAAAUUUCUCAAAAGCAAUAAA